This 588-nucleotide ribosomal RNA is filed under the name bacterium fme08x95na486. Its description in RNAcentral is "bacterial SSU rRNA". It matches the Rfam family "Bacterial small subunit ribosomal RNA", at positions 48 to 635 of the family's 1533-position model. The record is from RNAcentral.
GCUACACAUGCAGUCGAGCGGUAACAGAAAGUAGCUUGCUACUUUGCUGACGAGCGGCGGACGGGUGAGUAAUGCUUGGGAACAUGCCUUGAGGUGGGGGACAACAGUUGGAAACGACUGCUAAUACCGCAUAAUGUCUACGGACCAAAGGGGGCUUCGGCUCUCGCCUUUAGAUUGGCCCAAGUGGGAUUAGCUAGUUGGUGAGGUAAUGGCUCACCAAGGCAACGAUCCCUAGCUGGUUUGAGAGGAUGAUCAGCCACACUGGAACUGAGACACGGUCCAGACUCCUACGGGAGGCAGCAGUGGGGAAUAUUGCACAAUGGGCGCAAGCCUGAUGCAGCCAUGCCGCGUGUGUGAAGAAGGCCUUCGGGUUGUAAAGCACUUUCAGUCAGGAGGAAAGGUUAGUAGUUAAUACCUGCUAGCUGUGACGUUACUGACAGAAGAGCACCGGCUAACUCCGUGCCAGCAGCCGCGGUAAUACGGAGGGUGCGAGCGUUAAUCGGAAUUACUGGCGUAAGCGUACGCAGGCGGUUUGUUAAGCGAGAUGUGAAAGCCCCGGGCUCAACCUGGGAACUGCAUUUCGAACUG